AUGGGGACUAAGGUGUUCGUGCUUUCUGUAGUGAGGAACGCUGCUGGGCUCCGAGAAAGCAGAAUUAGUAGUUGUGAAUGGCUUUGUUUGUCCUUUGGCAGAAAUGCCUUAUGGGCUGCUUUGGAGCUGAACUGAGGAUUUGUUGAUUACCUCCCAUUUACCAGGAUUACAGCAAAUUAGAUUUAACUGUGACUGGCAUGGGAACUAUCUGAUGUCAGACAUGGAUGAGGACUAUUGCUAUAUAAACCACACCCUAUGAAUACAACCAUGGCCUAAAAUUCUAAGAUUGUUUAAAAAAGUGGAC
Long non-coding RNA from Suricata suricatta (meerkat), 304 nucleotides. RefSeq lists it as uncharacterized. NCBI's taxonomy places the organism in Eukaryota, Metazoa, Chordata, Mammalia, Carnivora, Herpestidae. The record is from RefSeq and is a predicted model, not a curated record. The transcript is spliced from 3 exons.